Molecule: ribosomal RNA, 253 nt
Filed under: uncultured bacterium
Lineage: Bacteria
Description: partial 16S ribosomal RNA
Rfam family: Bacterial small subunit ribosomal RNA
Source: RNAcentral
UACGGAGGGGGCCAGCGUUGUUCGGAAUUAUUGGGCGUAAAGGGCGUGUAGGCGGUUUGUUAAGUCAUGUGUGAAAUCCCUCGGCUCAACCGGGGAACGACGCAUGAAACUGGCAAGCUAGAGUACCAAAGAGGGGGGUGGAAUUCCAGGUGUAGCGGUGAAAUGCGUAGAUAUCUGGAGGAAUACCGGUGGCGAAGGCGGCAUCCUGGACCGGCAUUGACGCUGAGGAGCGAAAGCCAGGGGAGCAAACGGG